This is a transfer RNA of Felis catus (domestic cat), 84 nucleotides long. It matches the Rfam family "tRNA". Rfam says of the family: Transfer RNA (tRNA) molecules are approximately 80 nucleotides in length. Their secondary structure includes four short double-helical elements and three loops (D, anti-codon, and T loops). Lineage: Eukaryota; Metazoa; Chordata; Mammalia; Carnivora; Felidae. The record is from Rfam.
GCCUGGGUGGCUUAGUCGGUUAAGCGUCUGACUUUGGCUCAGGUCAUAUCUCAUGGUCUGUGGGUUCGAGCCCCACGUCGGGCU